This 254-nucleotide ribosomal RNA is filed under the name uncultured bacterium. Its description in RNAcentral is "partial 16S ribosomal RNA". It matches the Rfam family "Bacterial small subunit ribosomal RNA", at positions 524 to 776 of the family's 1533-position model. The record is from RNAcentral.
UACGUAGGGGGCGAGCGUUGUCCGGAUUUAUUGGGCGUAAAGAGCUCGUAGGCGGUUUGGCAAGUCGGGUGUGAAAACUCCGGGCUCAACUCAGAGACGCCACUCGAUACUGCCAUGACUCGAGUCCGGUAGGGGAGUGCGGAAUUCCUGGUGUAGCGGUGAAAUGCGCAGAUAUCAGGAGGAACACCGGUGGCGAAGGCGGCACUCUGGGCCGGUACUGACACUGAGGCACGAAAGCGUGGGGAGCAAACAGG